Phalacrocorax carbo (great cormorant) is the source of this 4007-nucleotide non-coding RNA. NCBI's taxonomy places the organism in Eukaryota, Metazoa, Chordata, Aves, Suliformes, Phalacrocoracidae. The record is from RefSeq and is a predicted model, not a curated record.
GCCUGGGGAGGCCCUCAGGCCCCGCAGCACCCUGGUGGGUGGGCGGGGGCGCUUCUAGCGGCAGCGCUGCCGACACCGGAGUGAGGAACAGAUACGCAGUUUAGUGGACAAGCAUGUGGAAUUCACUGCAACUCUUUUCAAGAUGGUUCUUUGGAGGAUACGAUGGCUGCUUUGAAAUUUCUAUACUGUCUUUUUAUUAAAGGAGAAUUCCUAGUAAGAGAUACUACUCUGUCUGCAAUAAAAAUCCUUCUUACUAGACACAGAUAAUAAAAUCUCUGCAUAUAGUCUGUAAGGAUCAUUUAUUGUAAAACACUGGCCUCUGAAAAAAAUAACCAGUCUUUGUAUCUGCAUCAGUGAAAAUAAAUAAGAGGCAGCAGGACUGUGACUUGCACUUACACAGUCAGCAAAGGGAAGAAUGCCAGGUUCUAAAAGUAACUUGGUGUCUUUACAUGAGGAUGGUAUAAAUGAUACUUCAGACUUGAGCGAAAUGAAAAUGUCAGAUGAAAAAGGAUCUGUUGAAAAAAGAACAAUGACUCUGAUUGAGAAGAAUGGCUAUCACGACUCUGUGUACAUGAAAGCAGCUAAGAUUUUUCAAGGCAUUCAUACUGAAAAGCGUAAGGAUAGAAUAUUGGUGCGGUAUGGUGAUGACUCAGUAUCUCCCACACUGACUUUUAAAGAUGAGUAUUCCCAGCGGGUAUCUUAUGAACUGGCUUUCAGUGCUCUAAAAUAUCAAGAUCUUCUUGAAGAAAUACUGUUAGAUAGUUGUGUUUACCCAUGCCAGUCAAUACCGGAUGAAUUAACCAGCUUGCUUGUUGUGAUGCUUUAUGACCUACAAGACCGAAAGUUUCAAGCACGAGAGAUUUUUGAUGAAGAGGAGCCUGUAGCAGAAGUUCAGAAAAUAGAGCGUUAUCUAUACAGUUUCAGGACAAAAUUGGCAGCUGCACUAGCAAGAUGCCGCAUAAAACAUGAUGCUCUUUCAAUUGAAUGUAUUCUACCAGAAACCAUACGGAAGCAGGAACAAAGGGCUUCUGCUUUACCUUUAUGUGUUUGGAUAAACACACUUAAAAUCAGCCUUCAAGACAUUUUCAAAGAUUUGAAGAAGAAGGGAUUCACAAGAGUUGAAACUGUGUCAGACUUUGACCAUUAUACGUACUGUAUGGACCAACAUUGCCAUGAUGUACUGUUUUUUCCUUCCUCUCUUAAAGAAGAACUGCUUAAUUUAGAUCUUUUUGCAGAUUGCAAACUCUUACUGCAGGAUAAGUCUCGCAGCCUUGCUGUACACUCUGCACAGGCGCUGCUGAAUAUAGGUGAUGACAUUAUAGUGGCUCAUGUAGGUUCCCAUCUGACCGUUGCCCAUAUGUCAGUGCUGACAAAUCACACCAUGUCCAAAAUUUUUGUUUGCGGCGUGAAAUCUUCAGUGAAAGCAGCAGAACUGAGGAACUUGUUCAGUCACAUGGGAUGUAAAAAUAUUCAGUUGCUACAUGAAGACUUUACUGAGGUUGGACCAACAGACCCAAGACUUCAAAAGGCAAAAGUUAUUUUGCUGCUACCACAAUGCUCUGGGCUGGGUGUUGGCAACCCAAUAGACUUUAUUUUGAAUGAACAUGGAGAUGCAGGAUUGCUGAGAGACCUUUUCCAAGGAUCUGUAUCUAAGGAGAAACUCAGUAUUCUUGCUGAGAGGCAGCUUAAUGAGUUGAUGCAUGCAAUGAAAUUUAACGAAGUACAAGCUAUUGUUUACGGCACUUGUUCAGUUUACCCAGAAGAAAAUGAACUAGUAGUGAAAAAAGCACUGGACUCUGGAGUGGAAGGAAAUAAAGUACAACCAUAUAGGCUUAUUCCUUCUGUGUUUACUCCUUGCUCCAAUUCAGAGGCUUCCACUGAAAUUUUUUUCAAAAUGGAGCCAUCAGAUAUUUCCAGUGGCUGUUUUCUAGCUAUUCUAGCAAGAGAGAAAGAUUCUUCUGAAAACGUGUCUGUUAAAGACAUUCUGGCUCGUGCUGCAGCAAAAGGACUCCUAGAUGGUGUUGCUGUAGAAAGAUCAAAGGAAGAGGAGAAAAAGCGACCAAAAGUAACACAGCGCAGAAGUAAUAUUACUGGUAGUGGUACAGAGCCAAAAAUGGAAGAGUUCCUUCACCGUCAAACUGUAUCCAAUGUUAAGGCUGAAGUUGCCGUGCCUAAAGCAGUCGGUAACAUACUACAAAAGAAUGUGAGCCGAACAAAGAGCCACAUUCAGCCGAAGAAACCCCUCAACCCGGUUUCAGCCCCAGCUCUGCCUAGAGUGCUGAAGCACACAUCUCAUUCAUCACCUAUGGGCAGGGCACAUGACGGACAGGCACUUGCUAGAAGGCCACGUGCAGAACAUCGCAGGGUUGUACUGAAGCCUGUGGAGAUCAUUUUGCCCCCAGUGAUAAUGCCAUACAUAUGCCUGCAAGGAAACAAACCCAGGACAUCAACUCAUCCCUGCUUUCAUGGCUGGACUGGAGCAAAAGGUCCGAGUGGGAGGAAACUUCCACCACCUCUGCCUAAAGCUGUCAAGCCAGCUGUGCUGAGCCAUCCUCGGCCAUGGCUGUAAAAAUCUGCAAAGUUUGCCCAGCCUUUAUAACAAAGUCAGCGCUACCUUUAGAAGGAAGGAUGUGAAUGAUACUACGCCAGCAGCAUAGGCAGCAGGCUCUGGUUCGUCAGAUGAAUAUCCUUGCUUCAGUGAAUCAGGGAAAAUGUCUUUUAGCAUUUCAGUCCGAGCCAGCUGUCCUGUUCAAAGGCAUCGCCCACCUGCUGUACAUCCCUGAGUUUGAGUCUUCGAAAUGUUAUGGAGGCUGAACCAGUUAGAAUCUUGAUGCCUUACCAAGAAUACUGAAGAGCUGGUAGCGAAGAUUUUGAUUCUGCAGGUCGCCAGCUUAUCUGGGGCUGGCUUCAGAUGGCUUCAGUAGGUAGGAGCCUGUAUGCUCAUUAAACGCUCUGUGACUUUUUACAGUAAAGCUGUUUAUGUGACUAAUUUUCUUUAAUCCAGUUACUUAUUUGUAAUAAUCAGCUAGAAGCUGUUGCUUCGGCUUUCCAGAUGCAAAAGCAUCCAUUGCACUGCUACUGCCUCUAAGCCACCAGCAUGUUUUUCCCUCCCCUCAACCACAGUUUGGCACAAAAGAAAUAAUUUCCCAGUUUCAUGGACCAGUAACAGCUGAGACAAUCAUUUUAUGCAGCUAAAUUUAUUCUCAGAACAGAUUACAUUUAAAUGUGGAGAAGUGGUCAACAGCAGGGAAAAUAGUCCUUUUUGGUGUCAGAUACUUUAUGUACUGCUAAUAGACAGUGGGGGUGUUUCCUUCUUUCUUACUGCUGUUAAAAUAAAACAAACCUGCUUUUGCUGACUGUGCAGCACAAGUUUUAGCAAUGUUUUAAUUAACCUGCCCAAGAAAGGAGUAAUGGGAUUAAUGGCAAUGGUGAAAGGUUGAGCCUGUAUCAGCCAUUGAAAUAAGAAAGUUCUCUUCCAUGGGUGAUUUACUAACAAUUUUAGAUCCCUAGUUAAAUCACCUAUGAAACGCUUGAUAAAAUUAAAAGGGAUGUAGAACUCGUGGUGACACAGAACUGGUGUAAGCUAUGAGACACUCCACCGCUUUUCUUCCUCUGUCACGAAAGGGCACGUUGUUUCAAGAGGUGCACAAGAAGUCUAUGACUACGAACUCACUUCACUGUGAACAGAUUCUGUGCCCUUCCACGCAAUUUUUGUUAUUCCUGUUUAACCACCCUGUAGGCGGCCACCGUCGCCUUACAUCUCCCACACCCCCUUGCUCCCCUUCAGAUGAAACAGUAAGUGGCUUAAAUAAAACCGUCAGCCAGCACUGCAGAUUUCAAAAGAAAGGCUUUUGUCUCCAGUCGUUGACUGAAUAUAAAUCUUGCUCCUGCAAGGCAGCUUGUUAAUGACAAAACUGACAUGUGAUACUUACCUCUAACUUACUACCUGCACUGAAAAAAUGAAGAAAUUAGCUUUGCUUUACAUGAUUUUUCUACAUCAAUAAAAA